Molecule: ribosomal RNA, 2892 nt
Filed under: Klebsiella pneumoniae
Lineage: Bacteria; Pseudomonadati; Pseudomonadota; Gammaproteobacteria; Enterobacterales; Enterobacteriaceae
Description: bacterial LSU rRNA
Rfam family: Bacterial large subunit ribosomal RNA
Source: RNAcentral
UUAAGCGACUAAGCGUACACGGUGGAUGCCCUGGCAGUCAGAGGCGAUGAAGGACGUGCUAAUCUGCGAAAAGCGUCGGUAAGGUGAUAUGAACCGUUAUAACCGGCGAUGUCCGAAUGGGGAAACCCAGUGCAAUUCGUUGCACUAUCGUUAACUGAAUACAUAGGUUAACGAGGCGAACCGGGGGAACUGAAACAUCUAAGUACCCCGAGGAAAAGAAAUCAACCGAGAUUCCCCCAGUAGCGGCGAGCGAACGGGGAGCAGCCCAGAGUCUGAAUCAGCUUGUGUGUUAGUGGAACGGUCUGGAAAGUCCGACGGUACAGGGUGAUAGUCCCGUACACCAAAAUGCACAGGUUGUGAACUCGAAGAGUAGGGCGGGACACGUGGUAUCCUGUCUGAAUAUGGGGGGACCAUCCUCCAAGGCUAAAUACUCCUGACUGACCGAUAGUGAACCAGUACCGUGAGGGAAAGGCGAAAAGAACCCCGGCGAGGGGAGUGAAAAAGAACCUGAAACCGUGUACGUACAAGCAGUGGGAGCACCUUCGGGUGUGACUGCGUACCUUUUGUAUAAUGGGUCAGCGACUUAUAUUCUGUAGCAAGGUUAACCGUAUAGGGGAGCCGCAGGGAAACCGAGUCUUAACUGGGCGUUAAGUUGCAGGGUAUAGACCCGAAACCCGGUGAUCUAGCCAUGGGCAGGUUGAAGGUUGGGUAACACUAACUGGAGGACCGAACCGACUAAUGUUGAAAAAUUAGCGGAUGACUUGUGGCUGGGGGUGAAAGGCCAAUCAAACCGGGAGAUAGCUGGUUCUCCCCGAAAGCUAUUUAGGUAGCGCCUCGUGAACUCAUCUUCGGGGGUAGAGCACUGUUUCGGCUAGGGGGUCAUCCCGACUUACCAACCCGAUGCAAACUACGAAUACCGAAGAAUGUUAUCACGGGAGACACACGGCGGGUGCUAACGUCCGUCGUGAAGAGGGAAACAACCCAGACCGCCAGCUAAGGUCCCAAAGUCAUGGUUAAGUGGAAACGAUGUGGGAAGGCACAGACAGCCAGGAUGUUGGCUUAGAAGCAGCCAUCAUUUAAAGAAAGCGUAAUAGCUCACUGGUCGAGUCGGCCUGCGCGGAAGAUGUAACGGGGCUAAACCAUGCACCGAAGCUGCGGCAGCGACACUAUGUGUUGUUGGGUAGGGGAGCGUUCUGUAAGCCUGCGAAGGUGACCUGUGAGGGUUGCUGGAGGUAUCAGAAGUGCGAAUGCUGACAUAAGUAACGAUAAAGCGGGUGAAAAGCCCGCUCGCCGGAAGACCAAGGGUUCCUGUCCAACGUUAAUCGGGGCAGGGUGAGUCGACCCUAAGGCGAGGCCGAAAGGCGUAGUCGAUGGGAAACAGGUUAAUAUUCCUGUACUUGGUGUUACUGCGAAGGGGACGGAGAAGGCUAUGUUAGCCGGGCGACGGUUGUCCCGGUUUAAGCAUGUAGGCUGGUUAUCCAGGCAAAUCCGGAUAAUCAAGGCUGAGGUGUGAUGACGAGGCACUACGGUGCUGAAGUAACAAAUGCCCUGCUUCCAGGAAAAGCCUCUAAGCAUCAGGUAACAUCAAAUCGUACCCCAAACCGACACAGGUGGUCAGGUAGAGAAUACCAAGGCGCUUGAGAGAACUCGGGUGAAGGAACUAGGCAAAAUGGUGCCGUAACUUCGGGAGAAGGCACGCUGGUGUAGGUGAAGUCCCUGCGGAUGGAGCUGAGACCAGUCGAAGAUACCAGCUGGCUGCAACUGUUUAUUAAAAACACAGCACUGUGCAAACACGAAAGUGGACGUAUACGGUGUGACGCCUGCCCGGUGCCGGAAGGUUAAUUGAUGGGGUUAUCCGUAAGGAGAAGCUCUUGAUCGAAGCCCCGGUAAACGGCGGCCGUAACUAUAACGGUCCUAAGGUAGCGAAAUUCCUUGUCGGGUAAGUUCCGACCUGCACGAAUGGCGUAAUGAUGGCCAGGCUGUCUCCACCCGAGACUCAGUGAAAUUGAACUCGCUGUGAAGAUGCAGUGUACCCGCGGCAAGACGGAAAGACCCCGUGAACCUUUACUAUAGCUUGACACUGAACAUUGAGCCUUGAUGUGUAGGAUAGGUGGGAGGCUUUGAAGCGUGGACGCCAGUCUGCGUGGAGCCAACCUGAAAUACCACCCUUUAAUGUUUGAUGUUCUAACGUUGGCCCCUGACCGGGGUUGCGGACAGUGUCUGGUGGGUAGUUUGACUGGGGCGGUCUCCUCCCAAAGCGUAACGGAGGAGCACGAAGGUUAGCUAAUCCUGGUCGGACAUCAGGAGGUUAGUGCAAUGGCAUAAGCUAGCUUGACUGCGAGCGUGACGGCGCGAGCAGGUGCGAAAGCAGGUCAUAGUGAUCCGGUGGUUCUGAAUGGAAGGGCCAUCGCUCAACGGAUAAAAGGUACUCCGGGGAUAACAGGCUGAUACCGCCCAAGAGUUCAUAUCGACGGCGGUGUUUGGCACCUCGAUGUCGGCUCAUCACAUCCUGGGGCUGAAGUAGGUCCCAAGGGUAUGGCUGUUCGCCAUUUAAAGUGGUACGCGAGCUGGGUUUAGAACGUCGUGAGACAGUUCGGUCCCUAUCUGCCGUGGGCGCUGGAGAAUUGAGGGGGGCUGCUCCUAGUACGAGAGGACCGGAGUGGACGCAUCACUGGUGUUCGGGUUGUCAUGCCAAUGGCACUGCCCGGUAGCUAAAUGCGGAAGAGAUAAGUGCUGAAAGCAUCUAAGCACGAAACUUGCCCCGAGAUGAGUUCUCCCUGAGACUUUAAGUCUCCUGAAGGAACGUUAAAGACGAUGACGUUGAUAGGCCGGGUGUGUAAGCGCAGCGAUGCGUUGAGCUAACCGGUACUAAUGAACCGUGAGGCUUAACCU